AAUGGACGAAAGUCUGACGGAGCGACGCCGCGUGCUGGAUGAAGGCCUUCGGGUUGUAAACAGCUGUCAUAGGGGAGGAAAUUUUGACCGAUCCUAAGAGGAAGCACAGGCUAAGUUCGUGCCAGCAGCCGCGGUAACACGAACUGUGCGAACGUUAUUCGGAAUCACUGGGCUUAAAGGGUGCGUAGGCGGUCUUGUAGGUCAGAUGUGAAAGCCCACGGCUCAACCGUGGAAUUGCGUUUGAAACCACAAGACUUGAGUGAGAUAGAGGUAAGCGGAACUGAUGGUGGAGCGGUGAAAUGCGUUGAUAUCAUUAGGAACACCGGUGGCGAAAGCGGCUUACUGGGUCUCUACUGACGCUGAGGCACGAAAGCUAGGGGAGCGAACGGGAUU
Molecule: ribosomal RNA, 393 nt
Filed under: uncultured Gammaproteobacteria bacterium
Lineage: Bacteria; Pseudomonadati; Pseudomonadota; Gammaproteobacteria
Description: bacterial SSU rRNA
Rfam family: Bacterial small subunit ribosomal RNA
Source: RNAcentral